GGCGAACGCUGGCGGCGUGCUUAACACAUGCAAGUCGAACGGAAAGGCCCUGCUUUUGUGGGGUGCUCGAGUGGCGAACGGGUGAGUAACACGUGAGUAACCUGCCCUUGACUUUGGGAUAACUUCAGGAAACUGGGGCUAAUACCGGAUAGGAGCUCCUGCUGCAUGGUGGGGGUUGGAAGUUUCGGCGGUUGGGGAUGGACUCGCGGCUUAUCAGCUUGUUGGUGGGGUAGUGGCUUACCAAGGCUUUGACGGGUAGCCGGCCUGAGAGGGUGACCGGCCACAUUGGGACUGAGAUACGGCCCAGACUCCUACGGGAGGCAGCAGUGGGGAAUAUUGCACAAUGGGCGGAAGCCUGAUGCAGCAACGCCGCGUGCGGGAUGACGGCCUUCGGGUUGUAAACCGCUUUCGCCUGUGACGAAGCGUGAGUGACGGUAAUGGGUAAAGAAGCACCGGCUAACUACGUG
RNAcentral lists this ribosomal RNA (467 nucleotides) under uncultured bacterium. Its description in RNAcentral is "partial 16S ribosomal RNA". It matches the Rfam family "Bacterial small subunit ribosomal RNA", at positions 28 to 507 of the family's 1533-position model. The record is from RNAcentral.